This 253-nucleotide ribosomal RNA is filed under the name uncultured bacterium. RNAcentral's name for it is "partial 16S ribosomal RNA". It matches the Rfam family "Bacterial small subunit ribosomal RNA", at positions 524 to 776 of the family's 1533-position model. The record is from RNAcentral.
UACGGGGGGGGCAAGCGUUGUUCGGAAUUACUGGGCGUAAAGGGCUUGUAGGUGGCCAACUAAGUCAACCGUGAAAUCCCUCGGCUUAACCGGGGAACUGCGUUUGAUACUGGAUGGCUUGAGUUUGGGAGAGGGAUGCGGAAUUCCAGGUGUAGCGGUGAAAUGCGUAGAUAUCUGGAGGAACACCGGUGGCGAAGGCGGCAUCCUGGACCAAUACUGACGCUGAGGAGCGAAAGCUAGGGGAGCAAACGGG